CGCUACCAUGCAGUUCGCACGAGAAAGUGGAGCAAUCCAUGAGUAAAGUGGCGCUACGGGUGAGUAACACGUGGGUCAUGCACCUCUUAGUGGGGAAUAACCCUGGGAAACCGGGGCUAAUACCGCAUAAGUCCGAGAGGAGAAAGCAGCAAUGCGCUGAGAGAGCAGCCCGCGGCUGAUUAGCUAGUUGGUGGGGUAAAAGCUCACCAAGGCGAAGAUCAGUAGCCGGCCUGAGAGGGCACACGGCCACACUGGCACUGAAACACGGGCCAGACUCCUACGGGAGGCAGCAGUGGGGAAUCUUGCACAAUGGGGGAAACCCUGAUGCAGCGACGCCGCGUGAGCGAUGAAGCCCUUCGGGGUGUAAAGCUCUUUCGACGGGAACGAUAAUGACGGUACCCGGAGAAGAAGCUGCGGCUAACUACGUGCCAGCAGCCGCGGUAAUACGUAGGCAGCAAGCGUUGUUCGGAAUUACUGGGCGUAAAGCGUGCGUAGGCGGCGCUACAAGUUUGGUGUGAAAUCUCCCGGCUUAACUGGGAGGGUGCGCCGAAAACUGUGGUGCUAGAGUGUGGGAGAGGUAAGCGGAAUUCCUGGUGUAGCGGUGAAAUGCGUAGAUAUCAGGAGGAACACCGGCGGUGUAGACGGCUUACUGGACCAUGACUGACGCUGAGGCACGAAAGUGUGGGGAGCAAACAGGAUUAGAUACCCUGGUAGUCCACACCCUAAACGAUGCAUACUUGGUGUGAGCCAUUCAUUUGGUUCGUGCCGGAGCUAACGCGUUAAGUAUGCCGCCUG
This 795-nucleotide ribosomal RNA is filed under the name uncultured bacterium. RNAcentral's name for it is "bacterial SSU rRNA". It matches the Rfam family "Bacterial small subunit ribosomal RNA", at positions 45 to 875 of the family's 1533-position model. The record is from RNAcentral.